Long non-coding RNA from Ornithodoros turicata, 511 nucleotides. RefSeq lists it as uncharacterized. Lineage: Eukaryota; Metazoa; Arthropoda; Arachnida; Ixodida; Argasidae. The transcript is spliced from 3 exons. The record is from RefSeq and is a predicted model, not a curated record.
GUGACUUGAUAUGACUGAUAUGACCCACGAUGUGAGAGAUGGCGGACUGCAACCAAGUUUUCAACAAUAAAUAGCGGGCGUAUGACUAGAGAGUUCACCACAUAGAAUCAGUCUGAAGAUUGCUCAAGGUACCGUGCACGUCCUAAAUCUAUUCAGAAUGCUGCGCCGUCUGGUGAUAGUCUUCGCUGUCCUGCUUCCACUAGUGUGGUCAUACAGGCACAGAUUUAGUCACCCACCCAAGUACCUGGUAAAGCCUCGGACACGUCAAUACUACGUGGCCGAUGACUCGGACGUGUUCUCUUCAGGCGACGGACAAGAUCAACGCGGGGUAAACUUUCAACCUAGGUUGAAGAACAACAGAAGGUUCAAUGCAGCAGACAACAACUUGGAUCGAGACAAGACAACCAGGUACACCGGUCGCCGUUACGCUUACUUCAAUCCAUGCUAAGCUACAAUUCUCGUCGGCUUUGAAGUUGAGCUGUUCUCGAAAAUAAAAUGCUUUAAAAAUUGA